GUACAAGAGCUAAAGUUUGUGGCUCCUUUUAAUAGUAAUGUUAAAUGUAAAAUCUUUUUAAUUGCUGGGAUACCCACUUUAUGGUGGACAAUCAGCAGGGACGUUAACGUAAGUUAACACCUUCAGAGACUAACCCGUUAGGGUGUAGAUUCUACUUAGAAUCGAAAAUAAGAAAUCCUUUUAGGAUUAAGAUAUAGUCCACAGACAAA
The sequence is an intron RNA, 209 nucleotides long. It matches the Rfam family "Group I catalytic intron". From Rfam's summary of the family: Group I catalytic introns are large self-splicing ribozymes. They catalyse their own excision from mRNA, tRNA and rRNA precursors in a wide range of organisms. The core secondary structure consists of 9 paired regions (P1-P9). The record is from Rfam.